This 1118-nucleotide ribosomal RNA is filed under the name Enterococcus faecalis. RNAcentral's name for it is "partial 23S ribosomal RNA". It matches the Rfam family "Bacterial large subunit ribosomal RNA", at positions 1 to 1128 of the family's 2925-position model. Lineage: Bacteria; Bacillati; Bacillota; Bacilli; Lactobacillales; Enterococcaceae. The record is from RNAcentral.
GAAUAAGGGCGCACGGUGGAUGCCUUGGCACUAGGAGCCGAUGAAGGACGGGACUAACACCGAUAUGCUUUGGGGAGCUGUAAGUAAGCUAUGAUCCAGAGAUUUCCGAAUGGGGGAACCCAAUAUCUUUUAUAGGAUAUUACUUUUCAGUGAAUACAUAGCUGAUUAGAGGUAGACGCAGAGAACUGAAACAUCUUAGUACCUGCAGGAAGAGAAAGAAAAUUCGAUUCCCUGAGUAGCGGCGAGCGAAACGGGAAGAGCCCAAACCAACAAGCUUGCUUGUUGGGGUUGUAGGACUCCGAUAUGGUAGUCUGUUAGUAUAGUUGAAGGAUUUGGAAAAUUCCGCUAAAGAGGGUGAAAGCCCCGUAGACGAAAUGCUAACAACACCUAGGAGGAUCCUGAGUACGGCGGAACACGAGAAAUUCCGUCGGAAUCCGCGGGGACCAUCCCGCAAGGCUAAAUACUCCCUAGUGACCGAUAGUGAACCAGUACCGUGAGGGAAAGGUGAAAAGCACCCCGGAAGGGGAGUGAAAUAGAUCCUGAAACCGUGUGCCUACAACAAGUCAAAGCUCGUUAAUGAGUGAUGGCGUGCCUUUUGUAGAAUGAACCGGCGAGUUACGAUUGCAUGCGAGGUUAAGUCGAAGAGACGGAGCCGCAGCGAAAGCGAGUCUGAAUAGGGCGAAUGAGUAUGUAGUCGUAGACCCGAAACCAUGUGAUCUACCCAUGUCCAGGUUGAAGGUGCGGUAAAACGCACUGGAGGACCGAACCCACGUACGUUGAAAAGUGCGGGGAUGAGGUGUGGGUAGCGGAGAAAUUCCAAACGAACUUGGAGAUAGCUGGUUCUCUCCGAAAUAGCUUUAGGGCUAGCCUCGGAAUUGAGAAUGAUGGAGGUAGAGCACUGUUUGGACUAGGGGCCCAUCUCGGGUUACCGAAUUCAGAUAAACUCCGAAUGCCAUUCAUUUAUAUCCGGGAGUCAGACUGCGAGUGAUAAGAUCCGUAGUCGAAAGGGAAACAGCCCAGACCACCAGCUAAGGUCCCAAAAUAUAUGUUAAGUGGAAAAGGAUGUGGGGUUGCACAGACAACUAGGAUGUUGGCUUAGAAGCAGCCACCAUUUAAAG